UUGCAUUUGAAGCCCAUGAGGAUGAGAACCUCCGGGGGCGGGGAGGUUCGACUCGAGCGAAGCGAGAGAACGUUGCGCCAGCAACGGCCCGCAGGGCGAGC
RNAcentral lists this small RNA (101 nucleotides) under Escherichia coli. Its description in RNAcentral is "partial RtT sRNA". It matches the Rfam family "RtT RNA", at positions 1 to 96 of the family's 130-position model. Rfam says of the family: This family represents a bacterial cis-regulatory element known as RtT RNA. The exact function of RtT is unknown although it is thought that it may be involved in changing the cellular response in relation to amino acid starvation. The record is from RNAcentral. RNAcentral also lists the same sequence under 1 other name. Lineage: Bacteria; Pseudomonadati; Pseudomonadota; Gammaproteobacteria; Enterobacterales; Enterobacteriaceae.